This is a long non-coding RNA of Equus caballus (horse), 2900 nucleotides long. RefSeq lists it as uncharacterized. The record is from RefSeq and is a predicted model, not a curated record. Lineage: Eukaryota; Metazoa; Chordata; Mammalia; Perissodactyla; Equidae.
AAGACAUUUUCAAGUGUUAUGGGGGCCCCGAAACCAAAAAGUAUGAGAACAUAUGGUAAGAAAGACUAAAUUUUCCUUAACUCUCAAUUCUUGGGAUGCUCCUUUGACCGUAAGUCAUCCCCUGAGGCGCCCCUUCCUUCCUUGGGACGUUGGCCCAGAAGAGAAGGCCAGAACUGCUGCCGAGGGGCCUCCCCGGAGUGGGCUACCAACGGAGGUCACAGCCGUGCUGGUCAAGGGAGCCUGACGGGAUCGAAGAGACCCGCAGGGUCAAAGGCGAAGGGGCGGAGAGGGGCGGGGUCAGGAGCAGGAGGAGGAAGGGCGGCCUGGGCGCGGCCUCCUCUCUGCCUCCGGGUGUGGCUGGCUCCGCCGUGGGUCGGUUCCCGCCUGGGGUCUGAGUGCCGGGGGCGGUUCCUACCCUCCACCCCUCGGCACCUCCUCUGCCCUGCCGCUGCCUGCAUCCCCUUCCGUGGUCCCAAGGUUCCAACGACGCUCCUGCUUCCCUCCAUCCCUUCCUCUGGAGCACGCAGGCUGCUGGGGGAUCCAACUGAAAAACUCGACAGAAUGCAUGGAGUAGUCUGAGGACUACGAAAACCUGGUCUCAAUACAGCGCCAAACCAGGAAGGACACAUCUGUGCGUACAAAGAUAGCUCCAGAAGUUCUGUGGUUCAGCCUGGUGAAGAGAGAAAGGGCUUUCCUGUCAGUGACUAGUGGUGGUGGCAACAGGUACCUAACACUCUGAGAGAGGGUAAGCUUGCUCUCCAGUGGGAUGAUUUGGUCCCAAGAGAAUGCAGCAAACCACCGUUGCUUUUCUCUCUCUCGCUGUCUUCCUGGCAAUUGAUUCUAGGAUGGGUCAGGGAAAGUGUGCAGCAGAGUAAGGUAAAUAAAGCCCCAGCUUUCUGGUAAGAGGACCACAAAGGGAACCUAGGCAACUGAAAAGUGGUGAAGAGAUCACAGAAGAGAAAGAUUUCGGAAAAGUGACCAUAAAAAUUUGUUUCUGAACUCCUGAGCUUACCCUAAAGCUGCAUAUGCAUGGAUCUGAUCCUAAAUAGCAUACCAAAAUCUUUGACAACUAAAGUAACAGUCCUCUGCCUAUGUUCCACACUAGCCACAUGCAGGACAGAUCCAAAUAGCACUGCAAAGACUUUGAGAAUGGAACUGACAUAGAAACCACAACACACAGAAGGCCAGAUGGAACUUGUGGUCUGAACCAAACUGGGUUAAUUGCCUGCUAAAACAGAAAUAUCAACAUACUCCAUAAGAUAGAAACAAGACACAGAGUCGCAUAACAUUAUAUUCAAAAUGUCUAGGAUACAAUUUAAAAUUCCUUGACAAAUGAAGAACCAUGAAAAUCUUAGCUUACAUGGGAAAAGACAAUGAAUUGAUACCAAAACGGAUUAUACAGAUGUUGGAAUUAUCUGACAAAGAAGCUAAAGCAGCUAUUACUAAAAGCUCCAACAAGUAAGGGGAAACAUUAUUGAAAAGAAUGGAAAGAUAGAAACUCUUAGCAAAAAAAUAGCAGAUAUAAAAAGACGCAAAAUAGAAACUUGGGGAGGGGAAGAUGGGGAAAGGGUAAGGGAAGUGGUGGGAUGUUGGUCAAAGGGUACAAACUUGCAGGUAAAAGAUGAAUAAGUUCUGGGGAUCUAAUACACAGCAUUGUGAUUAUAGUUAACAAUACAAUAUUAUAUACUUGAAUGUUGCUAAUAGACUAGAUCUUAAAUGUUCUCACCACAAAAAAGAAAUGUGACAUGAUAGACGUGUUAGCUAAUGCUAUUGUGGUAAUCAUAUUGCAGUAUAUAAGUGUAUCGAGUCAACAUGUUGUACAUUUAAACUUACACAAUGUUAUAUGUCAAUUAUAUCUCAAUUAAGAAAGAAAGAAAGAAAAAAGUGAAGAGGACACUUAUGGUAGGUUCUCUUGGAGCAGUCAUUUCCCAGUCACCCUUGUAACCAGAGAGCAAUAGUUCGAACAUUCAAAUAAAAAGAAUUGUAGUCGGGACCAGCCUGGUGGAGGCUAAUCUUCCAAAAAAAAAAAAAAAGAAAGAAUUGUAGUUUAUCAAAAGGGUGAAGAUUAAGGCUCCUAAUAAUGUAUAAUGAAAUUUGAAGUAAAACUGAAACAUUUGUCCCCAAAGUUUAAAUCACCCUUAUGAGAUGCAUGUAUUAAAACAUCUUGGAAGAUCUAAACUUUGAGAAGAAACAUAUCUAGAUAGGCAUCUCAGAAGAGCUGAAAAUUUAAAGAACAUAGAGGGAGCUGGUGGUAGAUUCUUUACUGGAUUUGAUAAUUCACUUCAGCACGUGUCCAUACCUUACGAUAGCUAAAACCAGCUGUGGCUGGCAAACAACUGCCCAUCUGCCCAACUGGAUGGUGGAGAUGGGUCAUGAGAACAAGGGAGAAAGAGAAAUUGGCAUUUCAAGCCUAGUUAUUAAUAUAAAAGAAAACAAACAGAAGUAUACCAGAAAACAGUACAAUUUUUUAAAUAAAUUAGGAUAAAAAUUUAAAAAAAAAGAAAUUUUAGAACUGAAAAUACAACCACUAAAAUAAACACCCUAAGGAAGAAUGUAAAUGACAGAAGAAAGAGUUAAUGAACUUGAGGAUAGAUCAAUAGAAAUUAUCCAAAUUGAACAACACAGAAAAAAAGAUGCCCUCCCCACCAAAAAUGAACAGCACCUCAUGGAUCUGUAAACAAUACCAAAAGGGCUAACAUUCAUGUCACCAGAGUUUCAGAAGGAGAGAAGAAAAAGUGCUUUACCAAAAAUAUAUAUAUUUGAAAAACAAUGGCUAAAAAUUUACCACAUUUGGCAAAAGACAAUAACUUAUAGAUUCAAGAAGGUCAGCAAACUCUAAACAGGAAAACACAAAUGAACUUGAAUUAAAAUACAUUACAAUCAAAUUGCUGAAAACUAAA